Linepithema humile (Argentine ant) is the source of this 1026-nucleotide long non-coding RNA. RefSeq lists it as uncharacterized. The record is from RefSeq and is a predicted model, not a curated record. NCBI's taxonomy places the organism in Eukaryota, Metazoa, Arthropoda, Insecta, Hymenoptera, Formicidae.
GAGAAAAAAUUACUGAAUUUUAUUCGCAUAAAAUCUCUUAAUUGAUUUGUUUAUACGCUUACAUAAUAACUUUGUAAGCACUCAUCAACAUUUGAUGCAAUCAUCUUUUAAUAAUAUACGCGGAAAACAAUUUUUUCAGCAUUUGGAAACGUAUGCAUUACACUCACGUGUUUAAUCUUCGCUUAUAACUUCAAGAUAUUUCUUAGCUAUAUUUCUUAGCUAUUUUUCUUGUUUAAAUAAAAAAUAUGCUGGUUUAUAACCAGUUUUUUAGUGAAUAAUAAUAAAAUUUGCAUGAGUAAGAAGAAUCUGAAAAUUAUAAAUUGCGGAUGCGCAAGAGAAACAUCAUAGUGUGUAUUUUUUUGUUGAAACGAUAAAACUGUGUAAAAAAUUUGGAAUAGAUAAUAAAUUAUGACAAAAAAUAUUAAAAUUGUCACAACAGAAUGAAAGCACUUCUUAACAUUUACCUGACAAUCACGAUAAUAGCAGCUGUGAUAUUAUCAUUUGGAAUAAGUGCAUCUACAAUUAUAUCUACUACCACAAAACUACCUACUAUCUUCUAUGCAUCCACUAUCAUAGGUGUUCCUUCAAGAUCAUAUUGCCCAACAGGCCAAAAAAAAAUGCUCACGGAAUAUGUCGCAAGAUGGUAUAACGGUGAUGACAUGCAGAUCGUCAAUAUUCUCGCAUCAUCAUGAAAAGAAUCCUUAAUAAUGUUUCUGAUAAUAGACGCCAAUGUAAAAUCAUAUCUACGUAGAACCACAAAUUCACGUUCUAGCAUCACACCUAUAAGUACUACCAUUGAUUCACAACAGUUUUAUGGCUAUUUUAUAACAGCACCUGAAAAAAUGACGAUUACGACAAUGUGCCAAAACUCAAAAACAUUGAUCAUUUUUAAAACUCCAACAUCGCCAAUUAACAGCUAAAUAAUCCAAUAAAGAUGAUAGGCUAAUUUAGAAAAUACAAAAAUUAUAUAAUGGUCUAUAAAAAAAUAAAUAUCAAUUUUUAUUUUCAUGAAUAGAUAGUUGUAAU